GCAUUGUAGGAGCUACAGUUCCAUGAUGCCUUGUCAUCCAAUGAGCAUCAUUGACAAGAUGCAAUCCCACAAUUUAAUUUUAUUUGCUAACUUGUGUUCCAUGUGUUCCACAGGUAUCACUGUAUCAGUGACAUCAUGAGCUUACCUCUAUCUCCUUAUCAAGUCGCAUACCAACAAUAUUUUCCCUUGUUUGAGCCAUCAUCUUGGAAUCCUUCACUCAA
This 221-nucleotide long non-coding RNA is filed under the name Phoenix dactylifera (date palm). Its description in RNAcentral is "long non-coding RNA (PDAC_LNC001751)". Lineage: Eukaryota; Viridiplantae; Streptophyta; Magnoliopsida; Arecales; Arecaceae. The record is from RNAcentral.